UGUCGGGUCCCAAAAUACGUGGUCUAAAGUCCUUUGGGCUCCUGCCGCUGCCAGCACUGAUCAUAUGCUCUUGACCCUGGUCGGGUGGGGGGAUGUCUGGAUACCUCCUCUGUGGAAAGAACUGGCCACACAUCCGCAGAGGUGACUCGGGCUGAGAACCCAGGCUCCUCCUCCCUUUGGUGACACGCCCCUCGGUCCCUCACUGGCACUUCUCCCUCCGGCCACACGGCGGCGUCUCGCCAUAGCGCAGCGGCCGAUGGUACAGCCCGCUCCCCCCUCGCGCUCUCGGACAGUGGGUCCUUCCACUUGUAGAAAAGCAUUGUGGGACGGAAGCCUGUCCUUUCUUCCUUUUGGUGCGAGCUUGCUGUGGUUUUUGCUCUGGGUCCUCUGGGAUGGCGCCUGGCUGUGGCCGCGUGGUCUCUCACGCAGGGGCGCCGGGCGGGGGAACGCGGCCACCCUGAGUCUGGUGAGUCGACUGCGGCGGCCUGUGUCCGAAGUGUCCGGGGCCGUGAACAAGGGCAGCGGCCUGGCCUCAGGCCUGCGUUCCCACGUUUGGAAACGGGGAGCUUCGUCGAUUUGUGUUUACAUCAUCGACUAUGCCAGGGAGUUCUCCAGAUAAGCCUGGUUUUAUUUUCGUCAGUGAAAAGGCCUUACCGUAUAACUGACUUUAUGCUUGCCCUGCCCCCGUAUAAAAUAACUUAAAAGCAGCGUGCCUGGUUACAGCUGUUUCCACGUGCGGUGCUCGUCGGGAGUGAUCACCUACCCUACAGGUGGAAGAUGGAUGCCUGAAGUGUAGACUGCUGCUAGCUGAAUACCAUCUGGGAGCAUAAAGGUGACCUGAAGGAUGUCCUUGGUGAGGAUUUUGAAAAUUUGAUCUUCACAAGAGUUGCCUGGAUCAUUUGAAAUUUCUGGGAGUCUGAGGAGUACUGACAUAAUUACCUGCUGGAGUCUGUAAAUACACAUUUAAGACAGUGAGGAUGUGAAUAAAUAUAUUAAUGCACUUUGGCAUUUGUGUUUUAAGUGAUUAACUGCCAGAAACAGCUAUUUCUAAAAAGUUAUAAGGGAGGAGGGGUUCUUUUUUGAUCAGUAUUCACUGCUGUCACCAUAAUUAAUAGCCUUAAAAUAGCUUGUGUUUGGCCCAAAGAGAAAUGUACUUUCUUCCAGUGACUCAAAAAUCGUGGCUAGAACUAGACU
This is a long non-coding RNA of Homo sapiens (human), 1194 nucleotides long. RefSeq annotates it as EPB41L4A antisense RNA 1. The transcript has 3 exons. Lineage: Eukaryota; Metazoa; Chordata; Mammalia; Primates; Hominidae. The record is from RefSeq and is marked validated.